Molecule: transfer RNA, 67 nt
Filed under: Boreoheptagyia zhengi
Lineage: Eukaryota; Metazoa; Arthropoda; Insecta; Diptera; Chironomidae
Description: tRNA-Glu
Rfam family: tRNA
About the family: Transfer RNA (tRNA) molecules are approximately 80 nucleotides in length. Their secondary structure includes four short double-helical elements and three loops (D, anti-codon, and T loops).
Source: RNAcentral
AUUUAUAUAGUUUAUAAAAAACAUUACAUUUUCACUGUAAAAAUAAAGAAUAAAUCUUUUAUAGAUU